UUUAUGGAGAGUUUGAUCCUGGCUCAGGAUGAACGCUGGCGGCGUGCCUAAUACAUGCAAGUCGAGCGAACAGAUAAGGAGCUUGCUCCUUUGACGUUAGCGGCGGACGGGUGAGUAACACGUGGGUAACCUACCUAUAAGACUGGAAUAACUCCGGGAAACCGGGGCUAAUGCCGGAUAACAUGUUGAACCGCAUGGUUCUACAGUGAAAGACGGUUUUGCUGUCACUUAUAGAUGG
RNAcentral lists this ribosomal RNA (238 nucleotides) under Staphylococcus pseudintermedius. Its description in RNAcentral is "partial 16S ribosomal RNA". It matches the Rfam family "Bacterial small subunit ribosomal RNA", at positions 1 to 228 of the family's 1533-position model. Lineage: Bacteria; Bacillati; Bacillota; Bacilli; Caryophanales; Staphylococcaceae. The record is from RNAcentral.